Molecule: long non-coding RNA, 273 nt
Filed under: Elaeis guineensis (African oil palm)
Lineage: Eukaryota; Viridiplantae; Streptophyta; Magnoliopsida; Arecales; Arecaceae
Description: long non-coding RNA (EGUI_LNC002099)
Source: RNAcentral
AUCCCCAACUCCUUGGCAAUCUUGAGACCAAUAGCUAGAGCUCCAUAUUCUGCCUCAUUAUUAGUAGCUAGGAACUCGAAGCAAAGGGUGUAUUUGGCGACCGUCCCAUUCGAUCCUGAGAAAAUCAACCCUGCUCCCGAUCCCAUGGGGCUAGAUGAUCUGUCGACAUACAGCUCCCAAGCACCCGAGCCGAACCUCGAUUGGCCCUUGCAGGUCUGUUCCCAGGAUUUGGCUUCUUUGGUCACUUUGGGCUCAUCUGGAAUGGUGCAUUCU